UACAGAGGGUGCGAGCGUUAAUCGGAAUUACUGGGCGUAAAGGGCCUGUAGGUGGUUUCUUAAGUUAGAUGUGAAAGCCCUGGGCUUAACCUGGGAACUGCAUCUAAAACUGGGUAACUAGAGUAUGGUAGAGGGAAGUGUAAUUUCUAGUGUAGCGGUGAAAUGCGUAGAUAUUAGAAAGAACACCAGUGGCGAAGGCGACUUCCUGGACCAAUACUGACACUGAGGGGCGAAAGCGUGGGGAGCAAACAGG
Molecule: ribosomal RNA, 253 nt
Filed under: uncultured bacterium
Lineage: Bacteria
Description: partial 16S ribosomal RNA
Rfam family: Bacterial small subunit ribosomal RNA
Source: RNAcentral